This 508-nucleotide ribosomal RNA is filed under the name uncultured bacterium. RNAcentral describes it as "partial 16S ribosomal RNA". It matches the Rfam family "Bacterial small subunit ribosomal RNA", at positions 28 to 523 of the family's 1533-position model. The record is from RNAcentral.
GACGAACGCUGGCGGCGCGCUUAACACAUGCAAGUCGAGCGAGAACCGGUCCUUCGGGACCGGGGAAAGCGGCGAACGGGUGAGUAACACGUGGGUAAUCUGCCCUCGGUUUCGGGAUAGCCCGGGGAAACCCGGAUUAAUACCGAAUGGCCCUUUCGGUCUUCGGAUUGAAAGGAAAAGGUAGCUUCGGCCUCCGACCGAGGAUGAGCCCGCGGCGGAUUAGCUUGUUGGUGGGGUAACGGCCUACCAAGGCGACGGUCCGUAGCUGGUCUGAGAGGACGAGCAGCCACACUGGGACUGAGACACGGACCAGACUCCUGCGGGAGGAAGCAGUGGGGAAUCUUGCGCAAUGGGCGAAAGCCUGACGCAGCGACGCCGCGUGCGGGAAGAAGGCCUUCGGGUUGUAAACCGCUUUCAGGUGGGACGAAGCCACUCGGGUGAAUAGCCCAGAGGGUGACGGUACCUCCAGAAGAAGUCCCGGCUAACUACGUGCCAGCCGCCGCCGUAA